This 227-nucleotide ribosomal RNA is filed under the name uncultured bacterium. RNAcentral's name for it is "partial 16S ribosomal RNA". It matches the Rfam family "Bacterial small subunit ribosomal RNA", at positions 328 to 544 of the family's 1533-position model. The record is from RNAcentral.
ACGCUCGACACCUACGGGAGGUAGCAGUAGGGAAUCUUCCACAAUGGGCGCAAGCCUGAUGGAGCAACACCGCGUGAGUGAAGAAGGGUUUCGGCUCGUAAAGCUCUGUUGUUGGAGAAGAACGUGCGUGAGAGUAACUGUUCACGCAGUGACGGUAUCCAACCAGAAAGUCACGGCUAACUACGUGCCAGCAGCCGACGGUAAUCUGAGGCGGGCGUGGCGAAGGC